Non-coding RNA from Pelobates cultripes (western spadefoot toad), 351 nucleotides. The record is from the annotation of a GenBank genome assembly. NCBI's taxonomy places the organism in Eukaryota, Metazoa, Chordata, Amphibia, Anura, Pelobatidae.
CUAGUCAUUCCCUCACUCUAGUGACAGAGUGAGGGAGGGUGUGACUAGUGACAGAGUGAGGGAGAGGUGACUAGUGACAGAGUGAGGAAAGGAAGGGGUGACUAGUGACAGAGUGAGGGAGGUGGUGACUGUCACCAGUCACCACCUCCCUCACUCUGUCACUAGUCACCACCUCCCUCACUCUGUCACUAGUCACCCCCUCCGUCCCUUACUCUGUCACUAGUCACCCCCUAACUCACUAUGUCACCAGUCAUCCGCUCACUCUGUCACCAGUCAUCCCUUCCUUCCCUCACUCUGCCACUAGUCACGCCUUCCCUCACUCUGUCACUAGUCAUUCCCUCACUCUAGUGA